Molecule: ribosomal RNA, 497 nt
Filed under: uncultured bacterium
Lineage: Bacteria
Description: partial 16S ribosomal RNA
Rfam family: Bacterial small subunit ribosomal RNA
Source: RNAcentral
GAUGAACGCUGGCGGCGUGCCUAAUACAUGCAAGUCGAGCGAACAGAUGAGGAGCUUGCUCCUCUUACGUUAGCGGCGGACGGGUGAGUAACACGUGGAUAACCUACCUUUAAGACUGGGAUAACUUUGGGAAACCGGAUCUAAUACCGGAUAAUAUCUUGAACCGCAUGGUUCAAUAGUGAAAGACGGUUUUGCUGUCACUUAUAGAUGGCUCCGCGCCUCAUUGGUUAGUUGGUAAGUUAACGGCUUGCCAAGGCAACCAUGAGUAGCCAACCUGAGAGGGUGGUAGGCAAAACGGGAAAGUAAACACGGUCCAGGAUCCUAAGGGAGGCAGCAGUAGGGAAUCUUCCGCAAUGGGGGAAAGCAUGACGGAACAAGGCCGAGUGAGUGAUAAAGGUCUUGGGAUCGUAAAACUCUGUUAUUGGGGAAGAACAAAUGUGGAAGGAAAUAUGCACGAAGUGACGGUAAAUAAUCAGAAAGCAACGGCUAACUACGUG